RNAcentral lists this long non-coding RNA (498 nucleotides) under Equus asinus (donkey). Its description in RNAcentral is "lncRNA (ENSEASG00005035700.1)". Lineage: Eukaryota; Metazoa; Chordata; Mammalia; Perissodactyla; Equidae. The record is from RNAcentral.
GUAUUGUCCUCAGCUCAACAAUAUCCUUUUCAUUUGGAUUGUGGUGUGUGGAACUGAACUCAAUACUCCAGGUCAUCUUCCUGGCUCAUUCAACGUGCUAUUGAUCUGUAUCAAGUCAGCAGAGGCUCCUACACGGUUCAGCUUUCCUGUUCAGGGACCUGUCAGUCCAUCAGUUGGGAAGACACCUACUUUAUUGGGACCCCAAGAAAGGCAUAGUCAAACGCUCUUUGAAGAUCUGGCUGCACUCUGACUACGGCGUUGCCUUUAUUUGGCAGCUACCAAAAAAGAACGUGGUGUUAUUUUCCAUGAAGGCGAUUGGUUUAAAAAUGUGCAUCCUUGGUGCAAUGGAAUAUUGUGAAACUGCUGAAAAUGAGUCUCCUCACGAGUAAACAAAAUUGAUGAGACCGCGCUCGUGCACAGGCACACGGCGGGCGGCACAGCUCCCAGCGGUCACCGUUUACUGAACUGCCAGAAGUGGAGCGAUCACAAGCCGAGUCU